Non-coding RNA from Carlito syrichta (Philippine tarsier), 131 nucleotides. The record is from Ensembl. Lineage: Eukaryota; Metazoa; Chordata; Mammalia; Primates; Tarsiidae.
UGGGAGCCUGAUACCCAAAUUGGGCUGAAGUACCGCUCUAAUUGUCACUGUACCUCCCUAGAGUAAACUGCCUUUUGAUGACCGGGACGAAUUGAGUGAAAUCGUAACGGACAGAUACGGGGCAGACAGUU